Taeniopygia guttata (zebra finch) is the source of this 1486-nucleotide non-coding RNA. The record is from RefSeq and is a predicted model, not a curated record. Lineage: Eukaryota; Metazoa; Chordata; Aves; Passeriformes; Estrildidae.
GUGAAGACAAACUUCAAUAACAAACCAACUCUUUUAUAAUUUGGUCCUAAUUCUGCUAACCUCAUACAGACCAAGCUGUCAAAAUGAAAUGGAAUAGCUCUGCGAAUAUGAACAAGCUCAAGUUUCUCUCUGUGUUUUCCAAGAAACGAACUGACUUGUGUUUAUAGUAUAUUGCACAAAUGACUCACUCAGGCAGCAUCUGUGCUAAGUACUGAGUGGGACAACAUUUUAUAUCAAGUAAGAUGACACAUUUUGCUCUUUUUUGUUUGCAAAUUUUCACCAAAUUUCUCGUCUCCACCCAGGCUGAAUAUUUUUCUUGGACUUCGGAUCAGCUUUGGCCUAGCUCUCACUGAAGCAGAAGCUAAUGAGUUUCUCCCAAAGUUAAUGAGUGUCUCCCAAGAUAAAAGGAGUAAGGUGGCUAAAGCUGUAUGUAGAAGUUCAAAUGAGAAUCAGGAGACCCCACAGAAGAAGAAAUGUACUGGAUACUGUUGCUUGUUCCACAGAAAAUGUCUCAACCUUAGUCUGAAAGAACUAAGACUGUUCAUGAGUCAAUGUGACAUGCAUGAGAAAGGGUAAAAGAGACUACACAUUCAGAUUCUUCUCACCAUCCUACUGUGAAGCAGGAAGUGAGCAAGGAGCAGCUCAAGGAUACAAAAGUUUGCAAAUUGGAAUAAAAUUUUCCAAAUAGCUGUGAAGUUGAGAGAAAGUGGAAACAUUUGAUCUCCAUAUUGUCAACUAUUUUCUGUCUGAAAAGAAAAUGAAAAAAAGGGAAUAUGUCAUAAGAAAUAGUAUUUCAGGUCUUAGAAUUUCUGAAAUCAGUUUUUUAAAAAGGAGUGAAAAUAAAAAAAAACCCCUUUAAAAAGAAACCUCUCUUCCUACAGUAAUUAUUAUUCUUGGUCAAUCUUAGUUAGCUGUUUUUGUAAUACAGGCCUAAAAAGCCGAGCAUAAGAGCUAGAUAUAGGAAUCCAGACUCAUAUUUCAAAAUAAGAGCCUGAGUUAAAGCUUUAUAAUAUGUCCAGAAUAUCAUCUUUCUAAUGCAUAACUUACGUGCAAUUUGAAUAUUGCUGUUGGAUGUUGAAAGUUUCUAGAGCAUACUGUAUCAAAUUCCUUAUGUUAAGCCAAGGUGCUUGCUGAUAGUUUUGGAAUCAAUGGUUGGGAAGAAAUUAAAUGUGUCAAAGCAAGGGAGUAUUCUAUAAAAAUGAAAAAUGAAGAAUUUUCAUGUAAUUUGUUUUUGACAACCAAACUGAAAAAAUUAAUAUCUUUCUAGGUCUGGAUAUCUUUGUCAUAGAAAUUCAAAGUCCACUAAAAUCAAAGGCAGUUUUUCCACAAGCUCAUCAAAUUUUUCAUUGAAAUGUUGGUGUGCCAUUCUAUAGCAUUUUGAUAACAGGAGGGAUUUGAGCAAUCUGGGAAUGAAAUGAAAGAAAGAAUGAAAAUAAUGAUUUAUCUAAGGAAAUAGGCAAUAAAUCUUUGACAGAAAAAAUCCUGA